GUGGAUUAGAUACCCUGGUCGUCCUGGCCCUAAACGGUGCGCAUUUGCUGUGAGUGGAAUCGACCCCGCUCGUGGCGAAGCUAACGCGUUAAAUGCGCCGCCUGGGAAGUACGGCCGCAAGGUUAAAACUCAAAGAAAUUGACGGGGGCCUGCACAAGCGGUGGAGUAUGUGGCUCAAUUCGAUGCAACGCGAAGAACCUUACCUGGCCUUGACAUGCAAGUAGUAGAAGGAUGAAAGUCUGACGAUCCCGCAAGGGAAGCUUGCACAGGUGCUGCAUGGUUGUCGUCAACU
Molecule: ribosomal RNA, 292 nt
Filed under: uncultured bacterium
Lineage: Bacteria
Description: partial 16S ribosomal RNA
Rfam family: Bacterial small subunit ribosomal RNA
Source: RNAcentral